AGGUCAUGAUGAGGACACUUUCACAUUAAAUCUUCUUUGUACCUCUCCCAUGCUUCAUACAAAGAUUCAUUCUCAAAUUGAGUGAAUAUGGUAAUAUCAUUCCUUAGCUU
This is a small nucleolar RNA of Juglans regia (Persian walnut), 110 nucleotides long. NCBI's taxonomy places the organism in Eukaryota, Viridiplantae, Streptophyta, Magnoliopsida, Fagales, Juglandaceae. The record is from RefSeq and is a predicted model, not a curated record.